GCGGGUGUAGUUCAGCGGUAGAACGUCUCGUUGCCAACGAGAAGGUCGAGGGUUCAAGUCCCUUCACCCGCUCCA
This 75-nucleotide transfer RNA is filed under the name Actinomycetes bacterium. Its description in RNAcentral is "Actinobacteria bacterium tRNA-Gly". It matches the Rfam family "tRNA". From Rfam's summary of the family: Transfer RNA (tRNA) molecules are approximately 80 nucleotides in length. Their secondary structure includes four short double-helical elements and three loops (D, anti-codon, and T loops). Further hydrogen bonds mediate the characteristic L-shaped molecular structure. tRNAs have two regions of fundamental functional importance: the anti-codon, which is responsible for specific mRNA codon recognition, and the 3' end, to which the tRNAs corresponding amino acid is attached (by aminoacyl-tRNA synthetases). tRNAs cope with the degeneracy of the genetic code in two manners: having more than one tRNA (with a specific anti-codon) for a particular amino acid; and 'wobble' base-pairing, i.e. permitting non-standard base-pairing at the 3rd anti-codon position. Lineage: Bacteria; Bacillati; Actinomycetota; Actinomycetes. The record is from RNAcentral.